This is a long non-coding RNA of Caretta caretta (loggerhead turtle), 2666 nucleotides long. RefSeq lists it as uncharacterized. The record is from RefSeq and is a predicted model, not a curated record. NCBI's taxonomy places the organism in Eukaryota, Metazoa, Chordata, Testudines, Cheloniidae.
CGUGCCAAGUGGCUGCGUCUCACGUGUGGCGCCAGCCGGAAGCCGUGGCCCAGGCCGGGCUGCGGCCCCUUCUGACCAUUGCGCGCCCGGUGCGCCUGGUUCUCUGCCUGAGCCCCAGUUACGCAGCCAUAUCCAGCGCCUGGGGACUGCGGCUCCCCUCAAACGUGUGCCGUGCUCACCUGACGCCAGCGUUGACAGGUGUCGGAGGUGUGGCACGUUUUGACCCGUUAGAAGCACAACCUGGCUGUUUAGGGGACUGCUUAAGAAGAGUCAAGUUGUACCACCUGGUUUUCUGCACGUUUAGAUGCUUUUACCCAAUCGGUGUGAUUGGAUUUUUAGCACUAGUCUUGCAGAAUUUAUGCAAGGGCUUCCGCGUCAGCUGUAGUUCAAAAAGAAGAGUGAAUCUAUUUUUGAGUUCAACUACAGCUUAGUUGUUUGUACAUUUUUUUUGCCUUUGCAGCGAUUAACAAUAGAGGAAUGUUCCCACAGAACUACAAUAUUAGAACCAUCUGAGUCAGAGUUACAGUCAGAAUAUGGUGCUGCUGUUAGUGUUCAUGAUGUGGAAGGAAAAAAUGUAUCUUUGUAUGAAUCUCUCUGCAGAUUACAGUGCCUGUUAUAUUUUUCCAUCUCUAAUUCAACUGCUAUUGAUUGAAGGCUACUGGCAAUGGCCAUACAGUCAUCUGCGAUUAACUUGACUGCACCAGAGCAGUAAUAACCCUGUGGAGCUUUUAGACACCUGGAAUAAAGGUAUGCAGUGUGGCUGUGGCUAUUCAGCACUACGGCCCCUUGCUGACUAAGGGCAUUGGUGUUGUGUUGUUGAUUGAAUGCUACCUUACUCUACUCACCCCAGUAGGUAAUGGAUACCAAUACACUUCAGGCUUUAUAUUUCUUCUGUCACAUAUAAUUGUGUUGUAUCAUACAAAGGAGGGAUAUUUUGCAGCACUUGUUUAACACACAGUUAUGGAGAUUGCAUUAUACAUGUUUUCAUUUCUGAUACCAGUUAUUUGGAAUGUCAAACCAGUGGCUGGUUCAAGUAGGGCUAGUUGAGGCAUCCUGCUUGAAUUGCCAUUGUUUCAAGGAUGUCAAACCACUGUAUUCCUGCUGCCAACUCCAUUACAAUUACUACCUUAGAGGCCUGAUCCAAUGCCCAUUGAAAUCUGUGGGAAGACUACCAUUGACUUAACUCGACUGUCUGUCUUGUGUAAUUUCAGUACUUCUCCAGAAUGGUCACCUUUUUAGUGUGUUUCUCCAGAAGCUGAGAAAAUAUAGCACAAUGUAAUAAAGGAUUAUCUGGUACAGCAACAUCCUCUCCAGCUCACUGAAGAAUAGAAGUUUAUUGAUAAACUUCACUACUUCUUGAAUGGGAGGACAGUAGCUAGGUGGCCGAGCCUGAGAGGGAGGAGAUUUUAAUGGCGAAAUAAAGGCAGUGAUACAGAGGAUUCUCCAAAUGAUUAAAAGAGGUUCUCUUGGACAAAACCUUCUCCUGGACACUGACUUCCCAAUCCUGCAAGGUGUUGAGACCUCUUCUCAUCCCCUUUUAGGAUUGGGCCUUGAAUGCCUCACGGUCCUGGAACUUAAAACAAGAAAAAAAUAUCAGAAAGGAGACAGAUCAGGUGACUGCACUCGGCUGACUUUCAGAGUAACACUAGCAGCUUAAACCCUAACUGAAAGUCUCUGAAAGAAUCCAGGGGAGAUAAAUUUCUCCAACCAGGAAUGAAACCAGGCAAAAUUCAAUAGAAAAUACAAGGAAGCCUCAAUUUUUUACCGCUUAAACUUUAGAAAACUUGGUUCUCACGUAGUUUAUUGGACUUGCACUGUUGCAGCCAUCAUGUACAAGUUCUCCUUUGUAACUAGUACAAAAGCCAUGUAAUCUGCAGUGAGGUCCCUAUAAGUAGAAAACCCUGAAACGUAAGAACAGCAAGUUAUGCUACUACUUUCUUCUCCCCUAUAACCUCAACUCUUCAUGUUAGGUUUGUGGCUGAGGUAAGUUAGGGUAAGCCCCUGCAGAUUUUGAGGGGGACCCAGAGAUAAAUGGCUGAUAUAUACAUAUUCUCUCAUAACCGAAGGAGCUGGGAGAUGUUUGUUACUAGCUCAAGCUCUAUUUAUUUCUGGAUUUAAAAGUUUUCAUAUUGAUUUAUUGAUCCAGGAAGACUAGAGCAUAUCCUUUGUUAUGCUGCAAAAAUGAAGAAAAUCUUUUAAAAGUACUCAGUAAAUUUUGUGAUCUAAUGAUCUAAUUUUUCUGCUCACGUCCUUUAUUCUAGUUAAACUUUUAAAUAACUGUCAACGGAAUUUUUCUGCACACUGGAAAUAAUCUGUUCAAAUUGUGGCUUUGCUAGCUAAAGAGAUUUCAGGAACUGGUGCUGUUCCCAGCUGCAGAACACAAAAGCAUUCACAGAUGCUAACUAAAUGGCCUAUGCUGAAGACAUUUUAUUGCCUAAUUGGUGUUUUUAAGAACAUUUUCCUGCUGUAUUUUUCCUUUUUGUUUUUUAUGAUUGUAAUUACAUUUGAUUUCUUUGUGUUGGUGAUUUUUAUAUAUCAACUUCUGAAUAGAAAUUAGCAAGGAAUAGGAAAUGUUUCAAAACUGAAAAUAGCCAUGCAUGUAAAUUGAGGAUUGUUCUUACAGACUGCUACCUCCAAUGGUCUGAAAAAUAUCUUUAUUCUUUCCA